AUUACCCCCAAUAUGCAGCAUACAGCUAUCUAGCUAAGAAGCACUGGUGACCAAACCUCCGACAACGCUAAUAUUCCCACACACUACCUAAACCUGUGCAUUUAGACACAUUGCUUUAACAGUAGACAAGUGGCUCAGUGUAUUGCAAAUAGGAUUUUUGCUCUCCCAAGCAAAAGUUACUCUCGCACAGGGGGUAAUGAUCGUUCCUCUACAGCACGUACAUAUCAGACAUGACCAGGACUGACAGUCAAGAGUUUUACCUACAUUGGUAUGCUUACCAGGGCUCCAUGCUUUAAAUGAUGGUUUUUAUUUUUUACUGUAUAACCACUGGAGCUUACUCUUUUGUAUAUGUACACUCAAUGAAAGCACUUCAUUACAUACAUACUCUUUUGCAUAUUUGUACUUUCACAAACAGAGCUUCUCCCCCCGAAACACAAGAAACUAUAAGGAAACCAAAAAGAUAUAAAUAUAUUUGUACUGAAGUCCAGUAGAGUGCAGGAGUCUGUCUGACAGAGAGAAGUCCAGAGAGAUCCCAGAAGACCAUCUUACAAUCAUGAUAGGUUGAAGAUAACAGUAGACCACCCUAACACACUGUACAGACGAGAGUGAGUGCAGACUCUGCCAGACAGCAGAAAACAGAGGAGAAGAUGAUUUGUUUCUUAUAAAAGGCAAUCUGGCAUUCCUAUAUGUCCAAGAAUGAGAUUGCUGGACAGAGAACAAGAUCUGCAGCUGCAAACACAGCUCGAAUAAUGAGUGGAAAGUAAGGGGAGAAAUCUUUACAAAUAGAUAAACCCAGUAAUUUGAGAGACAGACAUAAGUGGAGACACUGACAGCAAAGUGAAACUGAUGCAUAUUAAAUCAUGUAAAGUACUUUGCAAUUUCCAGUUUUCCUUGCCAACCAAAUCUCGCACUACAUGAUGCAAAAGGUUAUUUUCCUUGUCCAAAAUUCCCUUUCAUGUGGAUCUUAAUCCCAACUCCACAUUUUGGUUAUUUUUCUACCUGAAUUUGCCACCCUCCGGUUACAUGAAGUCCAGCUGUGUGAUCUUUUGAUUUUUCCUUUCCCAGUUCAUUAAAUUUUAUGCAGCUUUUCAAAGCACAACAGUCUCUUCAUUAUCUCAGUCCAUCUUGAAGUUGACAUAUAUAUAGCGAAUGAAUCGAAGUGAUGCUAUGAAGCUGACUGUUCCAAGCAUGAGGAAGAAGACAUAUGCAGUAAGAAAAGAGUACCCAAAGAACUCUACAGUUUGAACGGCCCCAGACAUGUUUGAACGACGCCAGUAGUAGAAGACAGAGUAAAAAAAUAUAAAAGCUCCAGUAGAUCCUGUGCUCAAAACUGAACGC
Molecule: long non-coding RNA, 1338 nt
Organism: Pseudophryne corroboree (corroboree frog)
Lineage: Eukaryota; Metazoa; Chordata; Amphibia; Anura; Myobatrachidae
Exons: 2
Source: RefSeq, a predicted model, not a curated record